GAGAGCAUGAGGAAGCAGUGUGGGAAAUCCUUUUUAUAUACUUGAACUUGGCUGGAGACACAGGAGGCACUGGAACUGCCCUGGAUAAAAAGCAAAUUCAUGGUACAAGAUCCUGAUUGGAACAUUUUGAAUCAAGUCUAGUCACAAUAUUUUGUCCCUUCUGAGGACAGAGCACACAUCGCCAAUGCAGAAGUCCCGAAAUCGAUGCAAGAUCGCCCCAGCAUUCAUUAUUGAAAACAUACACGUACCUUAAUAGAACUUUGUCUGCUACGCAGUGUCCAAAAACAUUCAGUAUGUUUGUGUGGUUCCACAUCCGACUCUCCGAGGUAGCUCCCUAUUGUUAUCAGGAGUGUAGGAUGGAAGGUGAUAGAGGCCGGCAUGAUAAGUUUGAUACAAACUGAGCUGAAAUGACAUACUAGAACAGCAAACCAUGGGAGUACAAAUGUGUCAUUUGGAAAGACUGACUUGUAAAGUAUGAAUGUUAUGUUGUGGUCCUGUGUUACGUGCAAUGGUGAAACAAUUUAUUUUCCUGUUAUCCUGUUGAGCGUGAUUGCUGUCACAUUCGGCUGUGCCCCAUGGUAUUGAUGCAUACAUGACGGCACGUUGGAUAUGUGUAACAGGCUGUGUCUAUGAACGAAGCUGAAACAAUUCUGUGAAAGUUACUUUUUUGCACAAGGAAGGUUUCACAGGCCUGAACUUGAUGCCAUGCAUCUCAAGGAGAAAUAACAAUAUGACUAAAUUUACAUUCCCAACUUUGUGAAUAUUUGAGCAUGAAGUUUACUGGAACAAGGAAAGUUCGGCAACAAACUGAAAUGAAACAUUGCUGCAAAAUGAAACAUUGCAUUGUUUGUAAGAUGGAUGUCGUUUAGACGAUUUUAGAUGUUUCCCUGACAAAUCCUGGCAUUGGUCUAUGAUUGGAGAAGUCGAAUCCAUAAUGUAAAGGUAAAACAAAUCAACAGUAAUUCGAAAGCACGGUAGGACUGAUUUCCUGCCUGAAAACCUUGCAAGCUUUAUAUAUUUAUAUCUACAGAUUAUUCAGCACAUUAUGUGGAUGAUAAACUUAUGAAUCCCAUUAAAAGAUAGCAUUGUAAUACCCAGCCAUUCCAUAGUAAACCUGCAAAAUUCAUCCAGAUUUAUUGUGGUUAAUCAAAAAAUUUAAAUUAUG
Polyodon spathula (Mississippi paddlefish) is the source of this 1165-nucleotide long non-coding RNA. RefSeq lists it as uncharacterized. The transcript is spliced from 3 exons. Lineage: Eukaryota; Metazoa; Chordata; Actinopteri; Acipenseriformes; Polyodontidae. The record is from RefSeq and is a predicted model, not a curated record.